CGACCAGGGCUACACACGUGCUACAAUGGUAGGUACAGAGGGCAGCUACACAGCGAUGUGAUGCGAAUCUCAAAAAGCCUAUCGUAGUCCAGAUUGGAGUCUGCAACUCGACUCCAUGAAGUAGGAAUCGCUAGUAAUCGCGGAUCAGAAUGCCGCGGUGAAUACGUUCCCGGGCCUUGUACACACCGCCCGUCACACCAUGGGAGUUGAUUGCACCAGAAGUGGGUAGCCUAACCUUUUAGGAUGGCGCUCAC
This 254-nucleotide ribosomal RNA is filed under the name Psychrobacter faecalis. RNAcentral's name for it is "partial 16S ribosomal RNA". It matches the Rfam family "Bacterial small subunit ribosomal RNA", at positions 1205 to 1457 of the family's 1533-position model. Lineage: Bacteria; Pseudomonadati; Pseudomonadota; Gammaproteobacteria; Moraxellales; Moraxellaceae. The record is from RNAcentral.